UAGGGAAUCUUCCACAAUGGGCGCAAGCCUGAUGGAGCAACGCCGCGUGAGUGAAGAAGGUUUUCGGAUCGUAAAGCUCUGUUGUAAGAGAAGAACGAGUGUGAGAGUGGAAAGUUCACACUGUGACGGUAUCUUACCAGAAAGGGACGGCUAACUACGUGCCAGCAGCCGCGGUAAUACGUAGGUCCCGAGCGUUGUCCGGAUUUAUUGGGCGUAAAGCGAGCGCAGGCGGUUAGAUAAGUCUGAAGUUAAAGGCUGUGGCUUAACCAUAGUACGCUUUGGAAACUGUUUAACUUGAGUGCAAGAGGGGAGAGUGGAAUUCCAUGUAUAGCGGUGAAAUGCGUAGAUAUAUGGAGGAACACCGGUGGCGAAAGCGGCUCUCUGGCUUGUAACUGACGCUGAGGCUCGAAAGCGUGGGGAGCAAACAGGAUUAGAUACCCUGGUAGUCCACGCCGUAAACGAUGAGUGCUAGGUGUUAGACCCUUUCCGGGGUUUAGUGCCGCAGCUAACGCAUUAAGCACUCCGCCUGGGGAGUACGACCGCAAGGUUG
This 550-nucleotide ribosomal RNA is filed under the name uncultured bacterium. Its description in RNAcentral is "bacterial SSU rRNA". It matches the Rfam family "Bacterial small subunit ribosomal RNA", at positions 355 to 896 of the family's 1533-position model. The record is from RNAcentral.